CAGCGCCGCGGUAAUACAGAGGGUGCGAGCGUUAAUCGGAUUUACUGGGCGUAAAGCGUGCGUAGGCGGCUUUUUAAGUCGGAUGUGAAAUCCCUGAGCUUAACUUAGGAAUUGCAUUCGAUACUGGGAAGCUAGAGUAUGGGAGAGGAUGGUAGAAUUCCAGGUGUAGCGGUGAAAUGCGUAGAGAUCUGGAGGAAUACCGAUGGCGAAGGCAGCCAUCUGGCCUAAUACUGACGCUGAGGUACGAAAGCAUGGGGAGCAAACAGGAUUAGAUACCCGUGUAGUCCCUGUCUCUUAUACA
RNAcentral lists this ribosomal RNA (301 nucleotides) under uncultured bacterium. RNAcentral's name for it is "partial 16S ribosomal RNA". It matches the Rfam family "Bacterial small subunit ribosomal RNA", at positions 509 to 808 of the family's 1533-position model. The record is from RNAcentral.